CAGACGCCCAUUGGACUCACCUGCGUCCCGAUGAAGCGCCGAACCGGGUCCUUCUGAGCUGGAGAACCCGCACUGGCACAGUCUCUCUGCACCGGAGGCUCCCUGAGCCGUGGCUUCCAGACGCAGAUGCCAAAGCAGAAACGCUGUGAACGCUGGACACCUGGCCAUCCUCCCUGAAGCUGCAGGAAGAGGUGGCCUAAGCUGGCCUGCCACUGUCACAAUGGCCACUCGCCGCCCCGCCAGUUUCUGUGCGUGGCCAGUGGGGACAGCUUGUCACCGCAGAGCGCCUCAACCCCCGUGGGACUGCGGGGUGUCCUAGGACGUGGCAGGCUGGGGCCUCAGGGCAAGUAGGCCCACAGAGCCACCAGUGUCACACGAGGUGGCCCCACUCAGACCGAGAGGGACGCCGAGCAGGAUCCCUGGGGCCCUGCAAGGCGGCUGCCAGCACAGAGGCACUGGAGAGGCCCGCGCUCAGCCCCGGGGGAGGGCAAGGUAAGCCCUGCCCACCGGCAGGAUGUCUUUGUUCUUUGACUAUACCUGGUGGGGCCGAGAGCAGGGGAUCCCUCCCAAGAGACACGAACCUGGUCUGUCCGCCUGCCUACGGAGGCGCCGGCUAAGGAGGCUUGCUGUUCUGAGGCGCAAAGCACCCUGCUCCCACCAGGCAGGGAUUAAACAGGGGAACUAUUUUGGUUGCCCCGCCCCACCCACGUGCAGGGGAAGGAGGAGGGGCGGGGCGUGGAGAUGGAGACAGGGCGGGGGGAGGGGCGGUCAUUACCAGUGACCUUGGCUGCAUCACCUGUGCUUGAGUGAUGACACCUCCACUAAGCCCACCGGGGAGGGCUCCCCCGGGGCGACCGCGUGGAUAUGGGGGGGGGGGUUCCCUGCUCCACUGCGUGCAGGCGGAGGAGGGGGGCUGGAUGUGGAGAUGGAGCAGGAGUUCAUCACCAGUGGUUUUGUCGGCAUCACCUGCGCGCAUGUGAGGAUGCCUCCCCUAAGCCCGCAAGGGGAGGGUACCCACCGGGGACUGCGUGGAGGGCGGGGGAGCCAGGUGCGCUUGGAGACGGCGUCGAAGGGCCGGUGCGUUUCCCCCCACCCCCGUUAGCGAAAAACAACAGAAUUCAGCUGAGUACAUGUCCAUGCUCUAUUGGCUUUAUUUUUGAUUCCUGAAAGGGGCAGCACCUGGUUAGCGCGUGGAAAGGAGCUCCUGGGAGCUGAGCGCAAGGAAGGGCUUUUGCAGGCAGGAGGUACCUAGAUGUUAUGGCAAUGCCGCUGUCCUGUAGGGGAGGGGCCGGGGGGGGGGGCGCUCAUUCCUCAAGCGCAGGCAGUUCCUGAUGGUCUGGUUUAAGGCUGUUUCUGGAAGAGCCGAGCCUGCAGUUGAGUCUAAGUUUGGUGAAAGGGGGCUUGGGGUAAAGGAUGCCAUGCGGGGCCUGGUGUCUGGUCUUUAACAGCCCAGGCAGUGCCCUGUGCCACUCUUCUUCCAUCUGUCUGCUCUGGCAUCAUCAUCUCCUUUUGUAAUAAACCUGUAACCCCCAGGUAUGGUGUUUCUCUGUGAGCCAUGUUGGCACGUUAAUGAGAGGCUCCCACCCAAAGCCCCUGGAACAGAAGCACAGGUGACAACCUGGACCUAUGAUUGGGGAGGCGGGGUUGGCGCUGAGCCCUUAAGGUCCCUCCAGGUGGAGAGUGUUGAAGGUGAGUCUGGUGGCAGGACCCCCAGCUGGUGUGGAGAAUUGUUUGCUGCUGGGACGGAAACGCGAGCAAUGAAAUUGCUACCAGAAUGGGAGAGAAACUGACGUCAGUGAUUUUCAUUGCUUCUUGUUUUUUGCCGUAAAAAUGUGAGGCUCUGCGUUCUCUUCUGAGCAGUGUUUGCUCUGAUGUCCUGUGUUUCGUAGCUCUGGAUAUUCCACGCUGGCGUUUUGAGUCCUUCUUGGAUCCAAAUGUUGCUUAGGAGAAAACGUUAAUAUUUCCCGGCAAAGGGCCUUUAGAUGGGUUAUGUCUCAUUUUAUUGAAUUGGGAGUUGAGACUGUUUCUGUACUGAUUUGCUUUGUUUUUUCUUUUAUUCUUUUUAUUUUCGUGAAGGAUGGUGAAUGUACAAUGUUGUAUGAAUUUCUGCGGCUGUACAGCAAAGUGAUUCACUUACACUUAUAUAUAUUCUUGUUCAUAUUCUUUUCUGUGAUGGUUUAUCUCAGGAUAUUGAAUAUAGUUCCCUGCACUCUACAGAAGGGCCUUGUUUAUUCUUUCUCUAGGUAAUAGUUUGCACCUGCUAAUUCUGAACUCCCCACCCAUCCCCUCCCUCUGCCCACCCCCUUGGCCACGUGUCUGUGCGUCUGUUUGUGUUUGGACUUACUUUUUUAAGACAGUAAAAUGCGUAUCACUUAAAAAUUCAGAUUGUAGGUGUUCCCGACUAGGAAAUGAACCCGACUAGGAUCCCUGAGGUUGCGGGUUCAAUCCCUGGCCUCGCUCCGUGGGUUAAGGAUCCGUUGUUGCCGUGAGCUGUGGUGUAGGCCAGCAACUACAGCUCUGAUUAGACCCCUAGCCUGGGAAUCUCUAUAUGCCACAAGUGCGACCCUCAAAAAGACAAAAAAAAAUUUUUUUGGAUUGUAGCACAUCAGGCUUAGAACGCAAACCUGGUACCCUGUCCCCCCCAGGCCCCACCCCUGUGGCAACGCUUAUUCCUACUUUCUGAUGUGUGUCGUUCUAGAUUGCAAGGACAGAACUACUGAUUCGGGGCACUUAGGUGUUAGGCAUUGUCUGCUGAGGUUGAGGUCAGAAAUAGGCAUAUUUAUGUCACACAGUUUCUCAACUCAUAACUAACUAUAUUCUAACUGAAAUGAAGUGGAACUAAAUGCCGGAUUUAUUUUUAGGGAAUGCAAUCUCCCGUAUUCCAUCUCAUUUCGAAAGGAGUUAACAUUAACCCAGUGCUUCAGGUGAAGAUGUUAUACGUGUGUGAUUGUCUUGUGUGUUUUUUUCUUUCCUGGAGGUAAAAUCGUGAAUACCUUCCCUUACGUCACACUGGGUGACAUCUCCGUGCAUGUGGCACAAGCAGUGUGUCAGAAACAAGGGCCAAGAAAAAUAAAUGAAAGUCUGUCUACCUUGGACGUUCCCUUAGAAAGUGAAAAGCUGUGUGUGUGUGUGUGUGUUGGGGGAGGUGAUUUAGGCCACGCCCACCCGAACUGAGCCGAUCCAAGGGAAGUACUUUGGUGUGGCUUUAUUUUUCUCCCCAAGGCUUAGCGUGUCAUAGCCUGGAUGCACAGGUCAUGUACAGGAAGAUGACCUAGCCACAGGUCAAGGUCAAAGUCAGGGUGGGGCCCACCAGCAAUCUUCCCAACAGGUGGGUCUCCCCGUCCCCACACAAGGCUGUCUUUCAUGGAAUAAGGGAGAUGGUUCUUUAUAUUAAGGAGAGAGGAGGGUAGGUUUGUACAAGUAUCUAGAAAAUAUCCAAGGAGCCCAGUCCAAUGUCAUGGCUGAUGGUGGCCAAGGAGCCUGUCUUCUUAGAGAAGACAGAUGGAGUGUCCUGGGGCCUGAACCCCAACUCUUCCCUCGGGUCCUUUUAAUUGUGCGGGAUCUUAAAGGCACACGAGGACAGCCUACCCUCCUUUGCUCCCAUCGUCCAUCAUUUUAGCGCCUAGGAUGAAAGACUUUGCCCAGGGUCUCUUACAACCCAAGUCUGUUUGCUUUGGGGAUGGAUUCUCCCUCACGGCUGAGGUCAGAGAUUUGCAGAAAUGCCACGUGAUUUAACUAAGAAUGAGAAAGAGGCUCACACCUGUGGCAUCUGCAGAACCAUGGGAAAACAGAGGAAGGUGCCACAACCAACUCCCUUAUUCCACAAGGUCACCAAGGGCCAAGUUGGCCUCAGAAAGGUGUCUUUUCCUGUGCACUGUGCAUCUACGGGAAGUGAGCAGGUGAUGGUCUGCCUGACAUCCAUCAAGUCCACACCUCCUGCCAGCAUAAGAACUCUGACGCAGAAUGGCCCAUUUGUCUUCAUUUCCAUCUUUAAAAGCGGGUGGACGGAGCAGAUGCAGCUUAAACAAUGGCUUCACGGCAACAUGAAUAGAAAACCUUAAUGUCUCAUUGAAUUAGCAGUGUCAUUAAGAUUCAGGAAUGCGCAAGAACACGGCUAAACAGUUUCUCCAGUGAAGUGUGCACAGUUCAUUUUUGAAACCCUACACUAAUCCUUCUCUUGUCAAAUGUGAUCAUUAGGAGGCAUUCUCCCUACUAGAGUUGGACUCCAGAGUUUCAUGGGCCACACAAAACCUUUAUAAUGCGAAACGGCCCAGGAAAAUCUGAAACAUGGUGCCAAAUGCUUUGAGGAAUAUGGGAAAAGGAGAAUAAUACAUGGAUUGUUGUAUUAGGGGUCUCUAGAGAUAAUGAAAUGAAAAGGUAUAAUAAUGGGUGUGUGUGUGUGUAUGGGGGAGGGAUGCAGAGAGAGAGACAGAGAGUGAAGCAAAGAGCCAGACAGACACAGAGAGAUUUUUAAGGAAUUGGCCCAUGGGAUUAUGAGAGCUGUCAAGUCAGAAAUCUCCAGGGUAGACCAGUAGGUUGCAAAGCCUGGUCAAAGCUGAUGUUGCAGCUUGACUCCAAUGUCUGGAGGUAGAAGUCUCUUCUGCAGGGUCAUGCUUAGUCUUUGCACUUGUGACCUUCAACUGAUUGGGUGCGGCCCACCCACACUGUGGCGGGCAGUCUGUUUAACUUCAAUGUUCAUCUCAUCUAAAAAAUACCUUUACAGAGACCUUUAGACUGCUGUUGGACCAAAUAUCAGGGUACCGUGGGCUAGCCUGGUGAUGGAUAAAAGUAACCACCCACCACAAUUAUAUGAAUACCAUUUAUAUCAUAAAUGCAUUUUUAUCUUGAGGUUAUCAUUCUUUGGGGGUUCUUGAUGGCCACCUACUUUUUUUUUUUCCUUCCACUUGGAGAAAAUGAUGGGAGACAGUAGUUUUGUCUUUCUAAGAAAUGAUAGAGUGUGGGGAGGGGAGAAGGAAAGAGGGAAGGAAGGAAGGUACAUCAACUAUAAUUAAAAAAAGAUUAUUGUCUCAAAACCCCUGCAGGAUAGGAUACAAGGAUAUUCACCUGAAAUAGGCAGGUGAUUUGUCUGAGACGAGUUAGCUCCCUCCCAUCUGUGCUAUAUUGGUUGGCAGGAAAUGACAUGCUGAAACUGCGCUGCAGACGUCAAACCAAAAAACCAGUCAUUUCCUUCAAAAGGACCUGAGAUUUCCCUGCCUCAUGUUGCACUGUGUAAGUAAAAGACUGUUGGUUCACACAUGUUCACUUUCUUCCUGCAUUUAGUCCAAUCGUGCAUCAAAAUAACAAGACAAGAAAAAAGCAGUACACAGCAUAAAUGCAGCAAAUAAAAGCAAAUGUGGUACAUGGCGUAUUAGAUUAAAAAACUAGUUCUAGGAGUUCCCUGGUUGUCUGGUGGUUAAGGAUCCAGUGAUGUACUUCUGUGGCUUGGGUUCCAUCCCUGGCCCAGGGAACUUCCACAUGCCACAGGCACAGCCAAAACAAACUAAAAAUCAAAACCUGAUUCUAACAAUAGCCAAGACAUGGAAACAACUUAAAUGUCCAUUGGCAGGGGAGUUCAGUGGUCAACGAAGCUGACUAGCAUCCAUGAGGACAUGGGUUCAAUCCUUGGCCUUGCUCAGUGGGUUAAGGAGCCAGCAUUGCUGUGAGCUGUGGUGUAGGUUGCAGAUGCGGCUUGGGUCUGGCAUUGCUGUAGCGCUGGCGUAGGCCAGCAGCUACAGCUCCGAUUGGAUCCCUAACCUAGGAACCUCCAUAUGUCACAG
This 5777-nucleotide long non-coding RNA is filed under the name Sus scrofa (pig). RNAcentral describes it as "lncRNA (ENSSSCG00000061796.1)". The record is from RNAcentral. Lineage: Eukaryota; Metazoa; Chordata; Mammalia; Artiodactyla; Suidae.